This 253-nucleotide ribosomal RNA is filed under the name uncultured bacterium. RNAcentral describes it as "partial 16S ribosomal RNA". It matches the Rfam family "Bacterial small subunit ribosomal RNA", at positions 524 to 776 of the family's 1533-position model. The record is from RNAcentral.
UACGUAGGGCGCAAGCGUUGUCCGGAAUUAUUGGGCGUAAAGAGCUCGUAGGCGGUUUGUCGCGUCUGUCGUGAAAGCUUGGGGCUUAACCCCAAGUCUGCGGUGGAUACGGGCAGACUAGAGGCAGGUAGGGGAGAACGGAAGUCCCGGUGUAGCGGUGAAAUGCGCAGAUAUCGGGAGGAACACCGGUGGCGAAGGCGGUUCUCUGGGACGGUACUGACGCUGAGACGCGAAAGCGUGGGGAGCGAACAGG